GCGGAUGUAGUUUAAUGGUAGAAUGUCGGCUUGUGGCGCCGAGGACGAGUGUUCGAUUCACUCCUUCCGCU
This 71-nucleotide transfer RNA is filed under the name Candidatus Pacearchaeota archaeon. Its description in RNAcentral is "tRNA-His". It matches the Rfam family "tRNA". From Rfam's summary of the family: Transfer RNA (tRNA) molecules are approximately 80 nucleotides in length. The record is from RNAcentral. Lineage: Archaea; Nanobdellati.